UUAAAAUUCAGUAAAUAUUGAAGAAAAUAUUUAAUAAUUAAAAAUAGACAUUUUUUUUAAAUUGAACUGAAAAGGAGAUUUAUUAUUAUUUCAAAAGAAAAAUAAUGUACCUUUAGCAUAAGGGGGUUUCAAAAAAGAAUAAAAAUUUAUUUUUCUCGAACUACUUUGAUCUAAAAUUUAAAUCAAUUUAAUGUUUCAAUAUUAAAUUCAAUUGAAUUUUAGAGGUGAAAUUCUUGUCAAAAAGUAAGAUAUCUAGUUAUGUAAAAUAAUUAUAUGUUGGCCCAUAAUGAUAUUUAAUUAAAAAUUUUAUGGGUAAGUGAUUUCGGGAUAAGCUGAAAUUAAUGAAUUUAAUUAUCAUUUAAGAUAAUUUAAAGGAAUAAUAUUGUCCUCAUUAUUGUCAUAAAUAAAUUUUUACCUAAAUUAGAGUAAUCAAAAAUUAUUUUAUUAAAUUUAAUUUAAAAUUUAAAUAAAAAUGAAAGCAUUAGUAAAAUAGACAUCAAAAUUAUCUUCAAUUUCAAAUUAUAAAUUAUUAAUUUAAUCUCAAUGAAUUAGGCAAAUAAUUUCUCUGACUGUUUAAUAAAAACAACACAUUUAGAAAAAAAAUAAAUGCAAAUCCUGCUCAAUGAAUUUUUUAAAUUGCUGUAGUAUUUUGACUAUACAAAGGUAUUGAAAUAAGAUUUUAAUUGAAUGCUAAGAGAAUGGAAUUUCAGGGAAAAGCUUUAUUGAAAUUAAAAUUUGAAGUUUUUUUAAUUUGUGCAGAAACAAUUAUUAAUAUUAAGGACAAGAAGACCCUAUGAAUUUAUUAAAUUUUACUAAUAAAUAAUUAUGUUAAUAAAAUUUUGGCUGGGGCGGCAAAAAAAUAUUAAGAACUUUUUAAUUUCAAAAUGAUCCAUUAUUAAUGAUUAUAUGAAAAAUACUCUAGGGAUAACAGCGUUAUAUUUUUUGAUAGAUCAUAUUGACAAAAAAGUUUGCGACCUCGAUGUUGGAUUAGGAUACUUUUUUAAUGAAGAAAUUAAAAAAAGAAGUUUGUUCAACUUUUAAACUCCUACAUGAUCUGAGUUUAGACCGAUGAGAAUCAGGUUGGAUUCUAUCUUAAUAAUGAAAAACUUUCAGCUAGUACGAAAGGAAUUCUGAAAUCUAAUUAUUGGGAUAAUCGACUUUAUUUGCAUCAAUUUUUGUAAU
This 1182-nucleotide ribosomal RNA is filed under the name Rhipicephalus maculatus. RNAcentral's name for it is "16S ribosomal RNA". The stretch from base 779 to 1093 matches the Rfam family "Archaeal large subunit ribosomal RNA", at positions 2155 to 2712 of the family's 2987-position model. The record is from RNAcentral. Lineage: Eukaryota; Metazoa; Arthropoda; Arachnida; Ixodida; Ixodidae.